UUGCUCUCUGGAUCAGUGGCGAACGGGUGAGUAACACGUGAGCAAUCUGCCCCUGACUCUGGGAUAAGCGCUGGAAACGGCGUCUAAUACCGGAUACGAGCUGCGAAGGCAUCUUCAGCAGCUGGAAAGAACUUCGGUCAGGGAUGAGCUCGCGGCCUAUCAGCUAGUUGGUGAGGUAAUGGCUCACCAAGGCGUCGACGGGUAGCCGGCCUGAGAGGGUGACCGGCCACACUGGGACUGAGACACGGCCCAGACUCCUACGGGAGGCAGCAGUGGGGAAUAUUGCACAAUGGGCGCAAGCCUGAUGCAGCAACGCCGCGUGAGGGACGACGGCCUUCGGGUUGUAAACCUCUUUUAGCAGGGAAGAAGCGAAAGUGACGGUACCUGCAGAAAAAGCACCGGCUAACUACGUGCCAGCAGCCGCGGUAAUACGUAGGGUGCAAGCGUUAUCCGGAAUUAUUGGGCGUAAAGAGCUCGUAGGCGGUUUGUCGCGUCUGCUGUGAAACCCCGAGGCUCAACCUCGGGCCUGCAGUGGGUACGGGCAGACUAGAGUGCGGUAGGGGAGAUUGGAAUUCCUGGUGUAGCGGUGGAAUGCGCAGAUAUCAGGAGGAACACCGAUGGCGAAGGCAGAUCUCUGGGCCGUAACUGACGCUGAGGAGCGAAAGGGUGGGGAGCAAACAGGCUUAGAUACCCUGGUAGUCCACCCCGUAAACGUUGGGAACUAGUUGUGGGGUCCAUUCCACGGAUUCCGUGACGCAGCUAACGCAUUAAGUUCCCCGCCUGGGGAGUACGGCCGCAAG
RNAcentral lists this ribosomal RNA (800 nucleotides) under Microbacterium sp. RNAcentral's name for it is "bacterial SSU rRNA". It matches the Rfam family "Bacterial small subunit ribosomal RNA", at positions 80 to 892 of the family's 1533-position model. Lineage: Bacteria; Bacillati; Actinomycetota; Actinomycetes; Micrococcales; Microbacteriaceae. The record is from RNAcentral.